RNAcentral lists this small RNA (29 nucleotides) under Bombyx mori (domestic silkworm). RNAcentral's name for it is "ovarian small RNA-18666". Lineage: Eukaryota; Metazoa; Arthropoda; Insecta; Lepidoptera; Bombycidae. The record is from RNAcentral.
UAACAUGUAUGUGUAAUGGCUAAUAUUGU